GCUGAUAUGGCUCAGUUGGUAGAGCGCACCCUUGGUAAGGGUGAGGUCCCCAGGAGCGCACCCUUGGUAAGGGUGAGGUCCCCAGUUCGACUCUGGGUAUCAGCACCA
Molecule: transfer RNA, 108 nt
Filed under: Klebsiella michiganensis
Lineage: Bacteria; Pseudomonadati; Pseudomonadota; Gammaproteobacteria; Enterobacterales; Enterobacteriaceae
Description: tRNA-Thr
Rfam family: tRNA
About the family: Transfer RNA (tRNA) molecules are approximately 80 nucleotides in length. Their secondary structure includes four short double-helical elements and three loops (D, anti-codon, and T loops).
Source: RNAcentral